CGGCCAGCGGGUGGAGCAUGUGGUUUAUUCGAAGCAACGCGAAGAACCUUACCAGGUCUUGACAUCCUCUGACAACUCUAGAGAUAGAGCGUUCCCCUUCGGGGGACAGAGUGACAGGUGGUGCAUGGUUGUCGUCAGCUCGUGUCGUGAGAUGUUGGGUUAAGUCCCGCAACGAGCGCAACCCUUGAUCUUAGUUGCCAGCAUUUAGUUGGGCACUCUAAGGUGACUGCCGGUGACAAACCGGAGGAAGGUGGGGAUGACGUCAAAUCAUCAUGCCCCUUAUGACCUGGGCUACACACGUGCUACAAUGGAUGGUACAAAGGGCUGCAAGACCGCGAGGUCAAGCCAAUCCCAUAAAACCAUUCUCAGUUCGGAUUGUAGGCUGCAACUCGCCUACAUGAAGCUGGAAUCGCUAGUAAUCGCGGAUCAGCAUGCCGCGGUGAAUACGUUCCCGGGCCUUGUACAACCCCGCCCGUAA
RNAcentral lists this ribosomal RNA (478 nucleotides) under Priestia megaterium. RNAcentral describes it as "bacterial SSU rRNA". It matches the Rfam family "Bacterial small subunit ribosomal RNA", at positions 922 to 1399 of the family's 1533-position model. Lineage: Bacteria; Bacillati; Bacillota; Bacilli; Caryophanales; Bacillaceae. The record is from RNAcentral.